Molecule: long non-coding RNA, 5239 nt
Filed under: Canis lupus familiaris (dog)
Lineage: Eukaryota; Metazoa; Chordata; Mammalia; Carnivora; Canidae
Description: lncRNA (ENSCAFG00845012609.1)
Source: RNAcentral
CCCUCCGCGAGCCCCGCCCCUCCGCGAGCCCCGCCCCCUCCUGAGCCCCGCCCUCAUCCCGCCCCCGCAGCCUCGCGGGAGUUAGCGGAGCCCCCGGGGCAUCCCCGGAGAGGGCGAGCCCGGGAGGCUCCCGGGGGGCGGCGGCCGGUCCCAAGCCCGCGGCGGCGAGGGGAAGGCCCCUGCUGGCGGGCGGGGUCCUGGCGCUCCCUUGCGGACUGACCCGGUUCCUCGAGAAGGUAACGACAGCGUCUCCGGUGUCCGCUCCUCGGGCCGGGGCCGCCUCCCCCGCGGGGGCCGCCUGGGGGCGCUGGUUCCGAAGCCCGCCGGGCCGCGGAGCGCCUUCGCCAGGCCCCGGGGUGCAGCAGCCGCGCCGCGAAGCCCGCCCCCCCCGCGAGUGUGCUCGGUGACCGACGCGGAAGAUCGCUGCCUUCUCUCUGCCUAGGACCGUGUCUGUGGCCGCUCACCCAGCCCGCCCUCUUCGGCCCGCUGGGACUGACAGGUCCCUGAGGUCUCCAAAACUACGAGAUCAAAGAGGAGGAAGAGUCUGCAUUCUCUACAUUUGCCUUUGGAGAAUGCAGGAAUCAGAGAUUUGGCCCCUGCGACUGAUUUUAAGUGUCCCUCCGAGUGUCCCGGGGUGCAGCUUUGUGGAGACUCCGGAGGAAGACUCUGGUCUUGGGAUUGGGGUCCCACAGCGUGGGUGAGAGAGGGGUUUGCUUUUUUGGUUUUGGUUUUCCUCUUCGGAGCUAGGCGAGGAAUCGCAUCUAGUGAGGGUCUGCCGCAGAAGCAAGUCUCAGCCAAUGUUGAGAGCAAAGAUUUCAAAAAGCUGAAAGUACUGAUGUUCAUUCAGCCCAAAGAAGCCAAGAAAAAUCUCAGAGAGACUCAACUAUAUCUAAAGAAGAAUAGGUCAUUUCGUAGUUUGCAAAAUGAAGUGCAGCUCCAACUUUGCCAGACAACAUUCUAUCAAGAAUUUGAAGUUGAAAGUAUGGUUCUAAGAUAAGGACAUGUACCAAAGGAAUGCUGCUUGAUUUUUGCUGGACACUUAAAGGUCAUGUCAAGUAAUACAAGCAGGAACAAAAAUACCAACUCUGAAAUUUUAAGUGACUUUGAAGAAGGUGACAUUAUAAAGUAAAUAUUGUCUGAGUUUCUCCGUCUCCCAGUAUUAUUUAUUUAUAUCUUUUUUUAAAAGAUUUUAUUUAUUUAUUUGAGAGAAAGAGAGAGAGUGAGCAUGAGUUGGAGGAGGGGCAGAGGGACAAGCAAACUCCAUGCUGAGUGGAGCCCAAGGCAGGGCUCAAUCCCAAGACCCCGAGAUCAUGACCUGAGCUGAAGUCAGUUGCUUAAUUGAUUGAGCCACCCUGGUGCCCCUCAUCAUUUUUUAUUUAAAAGAAUUUUUAAUUAUAUGUGUCAUUGCAUUAAAGUAAUUUACAUAGUACACUAUAGUAUUGAAAUACUUCCGUAUGAAAUAUUUCAGUAAUUGAAGUCCUUAGACAAACCAUAUUUUUCCUCAAGGAAGAGCCAACAUAUAGCCUAAUGUAUAUUUUGUCUAAUAUAGGAUACACAAGAUUCCUAAGUGGUUGUUAUAUGAAUGAUUGACCGGCUAAAUGAGUGAGUUACAAACCAUGUCACUUUAGAGGCUGAGUAGUAUUAAAAAGUAAAAUGUGCCAAAACAGUUACUGAUUAAAGGAGCUCCUUUUGGUUUUUUAAAGAAACCCAGUGCUUGCAAAAAUUUUUAUGCAAAGGGAUAGGACUUAGGAUAAGAGAGCAGUUUGUGUGUAGUAAUAAAACUUGCUUCAUUUUUUUGUUGUUGAGGGCAGAUUGGAUCUGAAGAUUUUUUUUUUAAGAUUUUAUUUAUUUAUUCAUGAGAGACACACAGAGAGAGGCAGAGAGGCAGAGACAUGGGCAGAAGGAGAAGCAGGCCCCUUGCAGGGAGCCCAAUUGUGGGACUUGAUCCCGGGACUCCAGGAUCAUACCCUGAGCCAAAGGCAGAUGCUCAACCCCUGACCCACCCAGGCAUCCCGGAUUUGAAGAUUCUUAAAUCCAAAAGUCUCUAAGUGUAAAGGUUUUGGGAGGUGAGAACAGUUGCUGGGAUUGAUUUUGGAAAAGUCACUUCAGGUCAGAUAUGACACUGAAAACAAUGCUAAAGAAUCUGGACUACAGAUUCUACAGGCAGUAGAGCUCUUUGAUGGUCUGUAAGUAGGAGGGAGAUGGAUCAGAUGAACAUUUAUAUAGGUGACUGGUGUGAUGAUGUGUGGGCUGUAUUAGAGAAAAGACAACAUGGAUUUGGAGAAUAAUUGCGAGAUUAAUGAGCAGGUCUUGGACCAAGGCACUGGGCCUGGGUGUACCAAUUAAGAGAUGGAUUCAAGAUGUUUUACUGGCAAUAAAUUCAAUGAGAAGGGCAAAGGAAAAAGAAGAGAUGCAUUUCUAAGAAUUUUCAAUAAAAAUUAAAUUUUAUUUUUGCAUGGCAUCCCCAUUUUUAAAUGUAUGAAUCAUCAUUGAUGGGUCAAAAAUUUCUUGAUACACUAAACACUGGCCAAGGAGUUAGCCAACCUGUGACUGGCUGAACAUUCUAGUGCUGGAGGUGCUUUGGAGACAUUCUUAGAACCUAUGAUCUCCAAGAUCUUCCCCAGGAUCAGUGUUAGUGAUAGAUGGAACCUCAGAGGUCACGUAACAGAAAGCUCAUAUUGACGGCUAGUUAGUGGCAGAAGUGCAAGCAGAAUCCUGAUUUUAGUGCCCUGUUCAUUUUACCGUGCUGCCUCAACUGUGUGUGGAUCAAAUAGAGCCACCGGUGUUUCAACUAAAGGGAAGAAACUUAGAUCAUCUGUACUGGGGCUUCUCAAAAUGUCUAUAAUCAUUAGGGUUCUCCAGAAAAACAGAACUAAGAGGAUAUAUAUAGAUAUAUAUGAGAUUUAUUGUAGGAAGCCAAGCCAAUGCUCAUGCUAUUAUGGAAACCAAGCAGUCACACAAUCUCCUGCUUUCAACCCCGGAGAACCAGGGAAGCCAGUGGUCUAACUCAGUCCAAGUCCAAGGGCCUGAGAACCAAGAGUGCUAAAGUCCAGGGCAGGAGAAGAUGGAUGUCCCAGCUCAAGCAAAGAGAGAUUUUAUUUUUAUUUAUUUAUUUUUUUUGAGAGAUUUUAAUUUUAAAGUCAUGCUACUCUUCUCUAAUUCCACCUUGACUCUUUAUUACUACAUCUUUUUCAAUAUUAAAGUCAUAAAAUAGUGUAAUUCUGUAUACAGUCACAUGAACACCAUCCUCCCUCACUGAGCAUCAUGGAUCUAGGUCAGUAUCUUCAUUCCAAGUCUGCUGUCCUGAGAACAAAGUACCUCCCCCCUUUUUAAAGCAUCUUUUUCUCAUAGUAGUAAGUUGUUGGAUGGAGAUAGGACACAGCAUUAUGUAUGUUUAUGGAUCAUGCUGCAGUUUUAGCAUGUAAAAUAUUCCAGACUAAAGACUCAUUUGGCCUGGAAUUCUUUCUUAUACUAUAGUUGGUACAAAUUAAUUCUGCUGGAGCUGAUAGAUUAUCCAAAAGGAAAGUCCAGGCCAAUCCUUAUUUAUUAAUUCUGUAAGUUUAAGAUUUAUUUUUUAAAAUCAUGUGCUUAAAAUGGUGCAUACUUAUAAUUCCACAGGUUCCUAGAAUUUCAUUGUAAGAAUAAUAUCAGAGCUAAAAUAAUUCUAAGAGAUGGAUUUGUUUUUAUUUUCCAGGAAAUCUGCCUUAUAAGUAAAUACCAAUCAGCCUACUUCAAUUUUAUGUAAAAUAGAUGUAAAAUUUCUGAUAAUGAGUGAAGAAGUAUUUGAUGAUAUUCAUAAAAAUGAUUACUGUUUUAAGAAAGUCCUUUUGGAAAGCCUACAUAAACUUCAAAGCCCAAAAUAUUUACAUUGAAAAUGAAUACUAAGGAAAAUUAAGUAUCUCUAUUUAAAUGUUAGCUAUUAACACGUUGUGCUCAUGGAUCAGUAGCCUUGAUUAGAUAAUAAACCAUCACAGAUGUAGGGGAGGCAAACUUUGCUCUCUGCCUUCUCAGGAUUUUUCAUCUGGGGCAGAAAAUUAAACUGACAUACAACAGAUUACCCAGAGAAAAGCAUACAAAUUUAUAUAAGGUUUAUGUGAUAUAGGAGCCCUCCUCAUGACAUGAAGACCCAAUGAAGUAGCAAACUUCUAUAAAGUGCCCGUUAAGAAUUAUUAUUAUUUUUUUAAGAAUUAUUAUUUUUUUAAAAUGGCGCUAAACCGCUGAGCCACCCAGGGAUCCCAAGAAUUAUUUUUAAUAAGCUUUGUAUAGAAUUUCUCGACUUUGCCUCCCUGUUGAAGAAAGUUUCUUUGUUCCUGAUAGAGGGAAGGCAUCUGUCACAUGGGAGUUCUUAAUCUCCCAUUUUCAGGAAGAAAAGAAGGAUAUUAGAAUGCUCUUCUUACAGUCUAACUCUCUGCUGUUUCCUAAGUGUCUCUAGUUGAAAAUAAUCCUUAUGCCAAAGUGGUAUAUUUUGGGGUGGUGUACAUCCUGUCACCCAUCUCAGACCAGAGGAAUUUUUCAAGGAUUAAAUGAGAAAAUCCUCAUGGAACUAUCAGAUCCGUGCCUGGCAGAGCAAUACUCACUACAUGGUAUAGUCUUUACUCCUGUUGCUAAUUGUAGUUAAAAAUAAUGAUAUGUCAUUGACGGAUACAACCCUUCAAAUUAACUUUUUAAAAAGUUGUGACUAUAAAUGCUGUGUUGCUUAGGAAAACAGUUGGCUGGUUCAUUGCUAGGUUUAUAAUUUGAAGUUAAAGCGCCUAUUCACGGGGAUAUUCUGUGAUGUUGCAGAAAUUCUUGAUGAGGCAGGAGCUGUGUGUGAUUCUGGUUGACAAUUGAAGGGCAUUUUGUCACAGAAUCCUGGGACAAGUGAAAAGCAGUUUUUCAUUUUCAUUAUUUUGGAGGAAUGUGAUUUAUAAGUGUUUAAUAGUUCUUUUUUUUUUAAGAUUUUAUUUAUUUAUUCAUGAGAGACACAGAGAGGCAGACAUAGGUAGAGGAUGAAGCAGGCUCCCUGCAGGGAGCCUGAGGCAGGACUCAAUCCCAGGACCUUGGGAUCACAACCUGAGCCCAAGGCAGAUGCUCAACCACUGAGCCAUCUUAGGCAGGCUCCAGUGUGUAUUAUAAUUUACUUUCUUUUAAAAAAAUUUCCUUUUUAUUUAAAACAUCUUUCUUGGGUAAAUCUCAUGAGUCACAUAGCCUUAGUUUCAGAGUGAUGGUGAUUUAACAUUAGUGGCCCUAAGUUUUUUUU